CAAACGACUCUCGGCAACGGAUAUCUCGGCUCAUGCAUCGAUGAAGAACGUAGCAAAAUGCGAUACUUGGUGUGAAUUGCAGAAUCCCGUGAACCAUYGAGUUUUUGAACGCAAGUUGCGUCCAAAGCCUUUUGGCUGAGGGCACGUCUGCCUGGGCGUCACAU
This 164-nucleotide ribosomal RNA is filed under the name Jacobaea auricula. Its description in RNAcentral is "5.8S ribosomal RNA". It matches the Rfam family "5.8S ribosomal RNA". Rfam says of the family: 5.8S ribosomal RNA (5.8S rRNA) is a component of the large subunit of the eukaryotic ribosome. It is transcribed by RNA polymerase I as part of the 45S precursor that also contains 18S and 28S rRNA. The record is from RNAcentral. Lineage: Eukaryota; Viridiplantae; Streptophyta; Magnoliopsida; Asterales; Asteraceae.